RNAcentral lists this ribosomal RNA (106 nucleotides) under Acanthosepion pharaonis. Lineage: Eukaryota; Metazoa; Mollusca; Cephalopoda; Sepiida; Sepiidae. The record is from RNAcentral.
CACAUCAUGUUGAAACACUAGUUCCUGUCCAAUCACCAAAGUUAAGCAAAAUCAAGCCUGGUCAAUACUUAGAUAGGUGACCACUUGGGAAUACCAGGUGUUGUAA